GGCGAGGUGGCAAAGCGGUUAUGCAGCGGCCUGCAAAGCCGUGCAGACGGGUUCGGCCCCCAUCCUUGCCU
RNAcentral lists this transfer RNA (71 nucleotides) under Massilia sp. PDC64. RNAcentral's name for it is "tRNA_Cys_GCA". It matches the Rfam family "tRNA". From Rfam's summary of the family: Transfer RNA (tRNA) molecules are approximately 80 nucleotides in length. Their secondary structure includes four short double-helical elements and three loops (D, anti-codon, and T loops). Further hydrogen bonds mediate the characteristic L-shaped molecular structure. tRNAs have two regions of fundamental functional importance: the anti-codon, which is responsible for specific mRNA codon recognition, and the 3' end, to which the tRNAs corresponding amino acid is attached (by aminoacyl-tRNA synthetases). tRNAs cope with the degeneracy of the genetic code in two manners: having more than one tRNA (with a specific anti-codon) for a particular amino acid; and 'wobble' base-pairing, i.e. permitting non-standard base-pairing at the 3rd anti-codon position. The record is from RNAcentral. Lineage: Bacteria; Pseudomonadati; Pseudomonadota; Betaproteobacteria; Burkholderiales; Oxalobacteraceae.